This 197-nucleotide ribosomal RNA is filed under the name Burkholderia vietnamiensis. Its description in RNAcentral is "partial 16S ribosomal RNA". It matches the Rfam family "Bacterial small subunit ribosomal RNA", at positions 1191 to 1381 of the family's 1533-position model. The record is from RNAcentral. Lineage: Bacteria; Pseudomonadati; Pseudomonadota; Betaproteobacteria; Burkholderiales; Burkholderiaceae.
UCUCAUGGCCUUAUGGGUAGGGCUUCACACGUCAUACAAUGGUCGGAACAGAGGGUUGCCAACCCGCGAGGGGGGCUAAUCCCAGAAAACCGAUCGUAGUCCGGAUUGCACUCUGCAACUCGAGUGCAUGAAGCUGGAAUCGCUANUAAUCGCGGAUCAGCAUGCCGCGGUGAAUACGUUCCCGGGCCUCUCAUGGC